CCCAUGACAUAUCUAAAAAUUUCUAAAAUUAUUUUGGUUCGACUAAUGGAGUUAAUUUCAAAUAAAAACGUGAUCUUGAUUUAAAAUACUACAUGAAAAAAAAAACUUAGAUUUUACCGUAUAAAAUGCCAUAGACUAAACCCUAAUUCGGUCCUUUCCUCUUAUUCAGGCUCUCAUUUGCGAAAUCGGCCGCCGUGCGCCUCCGCAGCUCCGCCACAUUUCCUAAAAGAACACAUCUUUGUUAAUCGGCAUUUCGAUUUCGAUAAAAGAAACUAUGCUGUUGUCCAUGGGUUUGGGGGGCUUGAGUGGAACUAGUAUAGCGGAAGAGGGCCCUUGUCCAUGCUCGAGUUUUGCACUGUGACGUUCGCAACCUCUUCUAUAUUAAUAUUGCCAUGAUAUGGCGAGGGGUUGUAUGUUGUAAAAGGCGGGGAUUGCAUCCUAGUAUUGGAUAGCAAUUUAGACUUCAGCCCGAAAACUCUUGCUCCCCUGUCCUAAUUGAGCUAUCAACGCGUUUCCUGCAUUGAUCUCAUUCUCUUGCUGAUCCAUUCUUUGGUCUUUACCCUUGCUGCUGUUUACGUGCAUUGAUUGCUUACAAUUUUUGUUGUGAUCGACCUCUUUAUAUUACUCGGAUUUGCUUAUUUUGAUCUUGUUUCUCUCUGAUUGUUCCUGUCUUGUUACUUCGAUCUUUGCUUUUGUAAUGCUCUGUUUUUACUACUGAUUUCCAUUGCCUUGAUUUGUUAUCUACGUGUAUCAAAGAAAGCCUUCUACAUU
Long non-coding RNA from Salvia splendens (bonfire salvia), 771 nucleotides. RefSeq lists it as uncharacterized. The transcript has 2 exons. NCBI's taxonomy places the organism in Eukaryota, Viridiplantae, Streptophyta, Magnoliopsida, Lamiales, Lamiaceae. The record is from RefSeq and is a predicted model, not a curated record.